GAUGAAGAACGCAGCGAAAUGCGAUAAGUAAUGCGAAUUGCAGAAUUUCCGUGAGUCAUCGAGUCUUUGAACGCACAUUGCGCCCCCUGGUAUUCCGGGGGGCAUGCCUGUCCGAGCGUCAUUGCUGCCCUCAAGCACGGCUUGUGUGUUGGGCCUCCGUCCUCCUCCCGGGGGACGGGCCCGAAAGGCAGCGGCGGCACCGCGUCCGGUCCUCGAGCGUAUGGGGCUUCGUCACCCGCUCUUGUAGGCCCGGCCGGCGCUUGCCGACACAUCAAUCUUUUUUCCAGGUUGACCUCGGAUCAGGUAGGGAUACCCGCUGAACUUAAGCAUAUAAAUAAGCGGAGGA
RNAcentral lists this unclassified non-coding RNA (346 nucleotides) under soil metagenome. RNAcentral's name for it is "partial contains 5.8S ribosomal RNA, internal transcribed spacer 2, and large subunit ribosomal RNA". The stretch from base 1 to 121 matches the Rfam family "5.8S ribosomal RNA", at positions 35 to 154 of the family's 154-position model. The record is from RNAcentral.